This 1707-nucleotide ribosomal RNA is filed under the name Triticum aestivum (bread wheat). Its description in RNAcentral is "partial small subunit ribosomal RNA". The record is from RNAcentral. Lineage: Eukaryota; Viridiplantae; Streptophyta; Magnoliopsida; Poales; Poaceae.
AUGGCUGAAAUGCUCACAGUACCUUCGGAACCGAUGUGCGAGAUUGCGGAGCGGGGUGGAGACGGCGGGGAGAGAAUGGGGCGGAAAGGGUUUGGCCGGGCGAUUAGCGAGGCGCCGGCGGUGACGCCGAGGUCAACUUGCGGGGAUGGGAAGGUGGAGACGGAGGAGGGGGCGCCGCACCUGCAGAUCCGCCGGUGCAGAGGGCCGCCUUCGACCAGCGGCCGCCGAAGAAUUGCCUGCGGCCGCCGCAAGAGGGAGGGAGGGCUAUCCAACGACAAUGUGCGCCUAUGGAUUCAUUUCCUCCGCAUCAUUUCUCCACCUCACAGCUCCCUAGCUCUCAUAGGUCAUGUCUCAUCUCUCGUCGCUCCUCCUCCCCUUCUUAUUCAUGUGUUGCUCCAUGUCGCGCACCUUUCACUCUCCCAUGUCCAUUGCCUCUCCUGUGUCGGUCUUCAGUACCUCGGGUACUGUAUAUAUCAAUCCAAUGAAGAUAGUGGAUAUGGCGAUGGGUAUGACUAUGACGUCUAUAGUGGCAGAGAUGUCAAACGAGGUCGACGACGGUCGUGUGAUGGUUGGACGAGAGAGAUAUUUCUAGAAGCCCCCCUCCUUUAUAUAGUGCAAACAAGUGGAAUAGGGUCUCAGGAUCCAUGUGAUACGGAUUGGACUCGACCCCCUUCACGAGAGUUGCUUGUGUUGACGUCACAGAGGCGACAAGGUGUGGAACAAUCUCAUGUACGGACAAUGACGCUCAUGUGGCACCCCAUCCAUGAUCCAUGGAUGCUAAUUAAUGUUGAUGAAGUAACACCACUUAUGGACACGGCGGUUUGGUGCCCGAGCUCAGCUGCUCCCGAAAUCACCGGCGUGCAUUCCUCGCUCGGGAUGCGAACAAAACAGCUUGUCGCGUCUAACACGGAAUAUAGAAAAAGGAGCGUAUGCGGUAAUACGGUAGGAAACAGUGCAUCUUUCGUGGGCCCAGAUCGUAUCGGGGGAACGGAGGACGCGCGUGUGCGUUCUGGUCCGUGGACCAGAACGUUCUCAUCUCAACCGAGCCACGGAUCAGAAUCGUCGCCCCCCUCUCUUCUCCCAAAACCGGCGGCGCUCGAUCUGCACCGGCGGCCACGUGAUGGAAGAGGCUGGCCUCGAUUUCCUGCUCGAUGCCGUCCACAGCGAAGCCAGCCGCGCCGUCCCUGCGGACUCAAAUGCCGGGUCUGGUUGCGGGCAACAGGACGGGGAGUGCGCCGGCGUCCCGAUGCUUCUCUGACUCGGUCGGGGCAGUCAACUGACCCCGAGGCCUCUGGUUACAGCUCGGUAGUGCACCACCAGACCAAGACACCUUGUCCCUGGGAUGAGUGCUCACAAUUAUGCAGAGGAACCGACAAAGAGUGUAGUGCGACCUGCACUUGCUCGGGCGAGGCAUAUGAUUUCUACAAUUUGUACACUUGGGAGAUCGGGUUCGGAAUUAGAUAUGAUAAGAUCAGGCUCAACGCUGAGAGGACAAAAUGCAUGGAGGAGAUAGUCUGCGGUUGCUCGGGAUUGGGCCAAUGUACUCCCCAAGUUCAAGACAAUAACAAGCAGUUACUACUUACUACCGGGGAGUGCAUGGAAUCAUUAAUGACGAGCCAAUCUGCCACGGAGAGGAAAUCUACUGUCCAUGUUCACAUGAAAGGGCAGCCCAUACAGCAACAGAACAGCAGCUGCUGCUCCGCAUAG